Long non-coding RNA from Rhipicephalus sanguineus (brown dog tick), 295 nucleotides. RefSeq lists it as uncharacterized. The transcript has 3 exons. The record is from RefSeq and is a predicted model, not a curated record. Lineage: Eukaryota; Metazoa; Arthropoda; Arachnida; Ixodida; Ixodidae.
UUUUUGCCACGUAAUGUAAGUGCUACUAUAAAUGGGAGAAGCUAUCGCAUGGUAAGAUGCAGAAUCGUUCUUUGACUUCCUCCAGACAACUGCCAUGAAUAGACAUACAGUAAUUUGCCUGAUUUUAAUGCUCUGCUUUGCUGUUUACCUCUGCAGCGCUGGUAGCUCAGGUACAACUUGUUUCAACCAUGUUAAGCUGUUCACGGGCGUCGAUGGAAAUCGUCCAUGAAUGGCUCGCACCACGCUGUCUCUGAGCAAUGCUACCAAAAGUGCCCGACACUUUGAAGAAUCCGCG